Molecule: ribosomal RNA, 483 nt
Filed under: uncultured bacterium
Lineage: Bacteria
Description: partial 16S ribosomal RNA
Rfam family: Bacterial small subunit ribosomal RNA
Source: RNAcentral
UUGCACGCUGGCGGCAGGCCUAACACAUGCAAGUCGCGCGGAUGAAGGGAGCUUGCUCCUGGUUUCAGCGGCGGACGGGUGAGUAAUGCCUAGGAAUCUGCCUGGUAGUGGGGGAUAACGUCCGGAAACGGGCGCUAAUACCGCAUACGUCCUGAGGGAGAAAGUGGGGGAUCUUCGGACCUCACGCUAUCAGAUGAGCCUAGGUCGGAUUAGCUAGUUGGUGGGGUAAAGGCCUACCAAGGCGACGAUCCGUAACUGGUCUGAGAGGAUGAUCAGUCACACUGGAACUGAGACACGGUCCAGACUCCUACGGGAGGCAGCAGUGGGGAAUAUUGGACAAUGGGCGAAAGCCUGAUCCAGCCAUGCCGCGUGUGUGAAGAAGGUCUUCGGAUUGUAAAGCACUUUAAGUUGGGAGGAAGGGCAGUAAGUUAAUACCUUGCUGUUUUGACGUUACCAACAGAAUAAGCACCGGCUAACUUCGUG